UAGCCUAGUGGUUAAGGCCAUGGAUCGCCAAUCCGGAGAUUGCGGGUUCGAUUCCCGU
Molecule: non-coding RNA, 58 nt
Organism: Aedes albopictus (Asian tiger mosquito)
Lineage: Eukaryota; Metazoa; Arthropoda; Insecta; Diptera; Culicidae
Source: Rfam